Molecule: non-coding RNA, 315 nt
Organism: Rhineura floridana
Lineage: Eukaryota; Metazoa; Chordata; Lepidosauria; Squamata; Rhineuridae
Source: the annotation of a RefSeq genome assembly
AUGGGGGACAGUUCACAGAUUGUUCUCACUCAGUCAGGCCCAGAAGUGAAAAAGCCUGGAGAAUCCACCAGGCUAAGCUGUUCCAUAAGUGGAUUUGAUCUGAGCGCUGCUUACAUGACCUGGAUCCGGCAGUCUCCAGGGAAAGGGCUGGAGUGGCUCCUUUACUAUUACUCAUCAUCUACCAAUCGCUACUUUCCAACCAUCCAAGGGCGAUUCUCUGCCUUCAAGGACAGCUCCAACGUAUAUCUGCAAAUGAACAACCUGAAGCAAGAAGACACGGCUGCCUAUUACUGUGCCAGAGACAUGCAGAGAUGA